UGCCGAGGUUUUCCUCAGUAGUUAACUGCAGCCGGUUUUAGACUUCCUCGGUAGUUAACUGCAGCAGAGCAU
RNAcentral lists this microRNA precursor (72 nucleotides) under Medicago truncatula (barrel medic). RNAcentral's name for it is "MIR2629 microRNA precursor family". It matches the Rfam family "MIR2629 microRNA precursor family". The record is from Rfam by way of RNAcentral. Lineage: Eukaryota; Viridiplantae; Streptophyta; Magnoliopsida; Fabales; Fabaceae.